AACGAACGCUGGCGGCAUGCCUAACACAUGCAAGUCGAACGAGACCUUCCGGUCUUUUGGCGCACCGGUGCGGAACGCGUGGGAAGCUGCACUUAGGUUCGGAAUAACUCCCCGAGGGGGGUCCUAAUACCAGAUGAUGUCUUCCGACCAAAGAUUUAUCGCCUUUGGAUGGGCGCGCGUUGGAUUAGCUGGUUGGUAGGGUAAAAGCCUACCAACGCGACGAUCCAUAGCUGGUCUGAGAGGAUGCUCAGCCACACUGGGACUGAGACACGGCCCAGACUCCUACGGGAGGCAGCAGUGGGGAAUAUUGGACAAUGGGCGAAAGCCUGAUCCAGCAAUGCCGGGUGAGUGAUGAAGGCCUUAGGGUUGUAAAGCUCUUUUACCCGGGAUGAUAAUGACAGUACCGGGAGAAUAAGCUCCGGCUAACUCCGUG
This 433-nucleotide ribosomal RNA is filed under the name uncultured bacterium. RNAcentral describes it as "partial 16S ribosomal RNA". It matches the Rfam family "Bacterial small subunit ribosomal RNA", at positions 29 to 507 of the family's 1533-position model. The record is from RNAcentral.